UCUCUGCCCCUUCCCCGUUCAUGCUCUGUCUCUCUCUGUCUCAAAAAUAAAUAAAAACAUUAAAAUAAAUAAAAUAUUAACGUUUUAGAGAAGGCAGUGUUUUUCUACGGAUAAAAGUUUGAAACAGUGUUUACUUCCUUUUCUAUUUUGUGUUUUACUAUAGAAGCACAGUAUUGUGUAUGUACAGCUUGUAAAUACAAGUCCAGCACAGACAUGUUUCAAAAACAAUUUUACUAACUGGGGUGGACUGUCAAAAUAGUGGGAGAAUACUGGUCUACUGAAGGGAAUGAGAGAGGUAUUUAACAUUCUUCCCGAUUAAGAGCUGAGGUGGAACAGAUCUAAAGACUAAGGCAGGGUAUAGUCAGACAACUGGAAAUCAGAAGGUGUUCACAGUAGUUUUGAAAAAUUAGACAGCUUCAAGCCCUAGAGUUCAAAGUGCCAGGAAAAACAGCCUACAGAUGUUUUUAGACAGUCAAUGCGCAGCAGAAGGGAGGGACAGAAGGGGUUUCCUGGAGAAGGGAGGCUCCUUGUGUGCUAAUGCUUCUGUGAAGGACCCCAGGAGUCCCGAUUCUCUGAAACUGCUUUUCAUCGGUGUAAGACAGAACUCUCUAGGCCUUCUGAUGCCUUUGAUAACUAUAUUGAAAUUUGACUUUGUCAAAAUGAGAUCUUACUAUAAAAUUACAUUUGUUGUAUUUCAAGACGAUAAACAGUGAGGAAGAACGGUACCUGUAUAUUCACUUGAUAAUCCGUGGGUCCGUGGAUAGAUCCAUACAAACCAAAUCCGACUAUAGAGAUUCUUCUAUUAACUGUGAACCUGAGAGAAUGAAGCCAAAUAUAAAAUAAUAUACAUAAUUCAUUAAGUAUUCAUAGUCUGAAGGCCUAUAAAAUUUUUAAGUGCUACCUGGAAUACACUUUGCUCAUAAAAAGGAAAACUAUCAUAAAUUUGAUAUCCUUGGAAGUGUCAUCUGCUUACCAAAAAACUCUUUCUAGAAAAAAUUUUAACUUAAUGGGAACCUAAGUAGAAGUUGUUUUCUGUACUGUACAUUUUUGAGAGUCAAAGGAAAUUAUUUAACCUAAAUGCCCACUUUUGUUGUAAUGACCAUCUUAAUGAUGUCUUAGUCCAAAUGUCUGCACAUCUUCAUGAUACAAAGGCCCAGAGCCCAGCAAGUCCAGUCUGUAACAACUUACCAGUUCUAUGAAUACUUACUAGGGGCCUGCCAGAGUUAAAUACUGGGCACCACACUGCGCUUAGAGCCCAAAGGAGGACACGAAUAAUAAAAAAGUAAACAAAGGGAUCAGUCAACAAUCGUAGGUUGGGGGAAGAGUUGUGAGGGAAGCUGCUGUAACAGAACACUGGUGGUGCAGGGCUGGCGCCAGGCCCUCACUUACACAGAUGGAUCAGAAUGAGGGUUCAUACUAGAACAAUCAGCAGGAACAGUUUGGCCAUAGGAGUUAAGAAACAGACCCAUCUUGCUCCACUUUACCAAUGUAGGAAAACUGACCGAGAGUACAAACAGCAUGAAAGAUGUAAUCAGAGAUAAUCCGUCACAUCAAGCAGUCACCCUCCACAUGUUCAGCAGCAACUUCGAUGAUCAAUAUUGUUACCGCCACGCCGAGUACUUCCUGUGCUGGGCGCUGCCCGGCCAUCCUUUUACAGGAAUUAUUUCCUUGAAUCAUUGUAAUGGCUGGAUAGACUAACACAGUGUUGUUCGUACCCCCGGUCUUUACAGUGGAGGCAACUGAGGUUUAGAGAAAUUAACUUGCCUGGGGCAAGAAGUGUGGCGGGCCAAAGGGCCCGCACUCCCCCACCGCUAUGCUAAAACUCCCAGCACAGGGCGAAGACCACCUUGACAUUUUUUAAAUAUGUCAUUUAUAAUAUAGUUUUUCCUUAUUUUAAAAAAGCAAGAUAUUCUCCGUGGGGGGAAAAAAGUAGAAAUGCAGCUAAUCAAAUAAGGAACAUUUUAAAGCAUCUCUAAGUCCCAUGUAGCUUUUGGUGCUUUCUCUUUUUAGACUUAGUUCUAUUUUCUAGCAAUGGGAAAAUAGACUUGUUUUCUAUGAACGUGUUAUUUACAAAUCAUCUCAGUUGUAUAUAUGUGUAUAAAUACUUCUUUUUCAUUUAAAAAGGUAAAAGGUUACUACUGCUCCACCAGAUCUGAUUUCUCAUUGUUGGAUAAUCCAGGUUAUUUGCAGUUUUUAUUAUGUGACAGUGCCAUGAGGAACAAUCUUGCAGCUAAAUCACUUUGCGGAGCCUUAAUUAUGUCCUGAGAACAAAUUCUUAGAAUUGCUGAGGAAAAUGAAAGGCGUGUUCUUAAGGCUUUAGAUAAAUGUUAUCAAACUGCUUUCCGGUGGAAGUGUUCACCCCACAGGGAACGAAGAUCGUUUCUAUCUGAUGCUCAGCAACCGUGAGUAUUUCUAUGUCUUUGUGCCACUGACAAACUGAUGACUGACAAAUUCUAUUCUUUUUUUCUUGGAUUAUUAAUGAGUUAAAACAUUUGCUCGAAUAUUUACCGUCUACUGGAUUUUCUCUUUAAUAAAAUACUCAUGUUCUUUCCCCAUUUUUCUCUGCUGCUGAGUGUCUCUUUCAUGUGGAUUUGAAAGACCACGUUAUAUAGCUAUGCUCUGUCAGUAACUAUCCAUUAUGGCAAGUGUCCUGUUUGUCAUUUAUUAACUUCAUGGUGGCUGUGGACACAAAAACUUUGGAUUACCUGUAGUCGUAUUAUGACCCCUGCCAAGUGGAGAGAGGCCUAUCUCCUCUGCAUCACAGUCACGUGUUCUUUUUUUUUAAUAUUAAAUAAAUGGAUACAAAUAUUGGCAGAUGAUAUCAGCAGGGAAUCAAACUGUAUUUUCCCAGUGGUUGAUCCUUUCCUCAUCUUCUAAGUUUCUCCCCUCAUAUUCUAUGCUCAUUUAGGUCAGUCUGCUUCCUGGACUCUGUAGAGUGUUCCAUACGGCACGAACUUACUUUAACUUUACAGUAGUCUUACAUUUGAUCCAUACUGCUCUUUUAAAAAGAGAAAAUUUACUCUUCCAGCUUAAUUUUAGAGUAACUGGGCCAAGCCAAUGCUUCCUGCCAAGAGCACGUCACUCCUGCAGGGAGCUGCAGUCCACGCACUUAGCUCGGCAAGACAAUGGCUACAGGCAAGGUUCUCCGGUUCUCCAUGAAGGUGCUGUUCUGUCUGCUUCCUGCGGAAUCUAUUCCUGUUCCUUUAUGUUGUCACCAUUAUUUUUACUGAUCCUGAGGUCAUCGGGAUGGAUCAACUGUUCUCAAAAAGAGUCCCAGCCCCACGGAGACCAUGCUCUGUUUCCCACAAAGGCUCAGGGGUUCCAGUGGCAGCAAGAUUUACUGCAAUGAUCAGGACGGUCUCUGAAAACAAAGAAUCCCAGCCAAUUUUCAGGUGUCCUGUCGGAAUUCAUGUAGGUGAAAAACUUGUUUAUAACUACAAGAGCUCAACCUAAGUCCACUUUAUUGACAAACUACAGAUUUCGGCAUUGUUAUAAAGCAAGAUUACUCCUGCAGACAGUGUGUGUCUUCCGUCUGAGCACAGGAAGGAAUUAAGGUAUUACACUCAACCCCCAGUUCUCCUUGCAGAGCAAGGGUCCCCGAGUCUUCAGCAUCGCACAGUGUUUCAGCACAAACCAAUAAUUUUUAUGGCAAUUUUAAUAUUCAGUGACUUUUACAAGAUGUUACUACCAUAUAAAUAGAGGAAAUAUUAUACAGUCAAUUCUCACUAUUUGUAGUAAUUAUAUUCUAUAAAGUUGCCACAGAUACUAAACCAUUGCUCCUACGGGGAACAUGUGUACACACGUACCCACACACCCCCCUCUCACAUGGGUUGUAACCUUAAAUCCCCCAAACAACUCAUCCUCGGAGGUUCCAUCUUAUUUUACAAAAGAGAAAACAGGAGUUCAGAAGUGUUAAGUGACUCGCCUGAGGCCACCCCCAACAGGUGCAGGGUUAGGGGUCAGCUGCCCAAAUGGCCCCGGGGCCAGUGUCUGGCUCUACACUGCGCUGCCCCUGCUGUCUCCGUUUCCUCAGGAGGGGGUCACCUGUGCGACCUCAAAUAGGAACAUACCUCCGGGCAACUCAGGUCUGUGAUAAGGAAGCGCUGCAAGUAUUGAUUUGGGAGUACAGGGAAGCUUUAGUGAGCAGGCGAGCUGCAAAUCUGGAAACUAAACAAACAGGAUUGACCGUACUGUUUUAUUUGAAACCUUUAAAAAAAAAAAAUGACAUGAUUGGCAGCAACGCUGCUCACGCUUUUUGACACAUUAACACAAUACACCUGCCCCGGCAGCCUGUGUGGCACGCACACAGGUGCUUCCGGCUGCCUCCUGGUGUCCUGCUCAAGCAUCUACGUACUGAAGGACGGGUUUUAUUUCAUCUCCGUUACGUUUACUGCUCCGUUACAUUAGAGCUAGGUCAUUAUGUUGACCAAAAACAAUGCGUGAGGUAUACAGUCUAUGAAUUUCACCAGGUUACUAAAGAGGGAGUACAAAAUGUUUUAUUAUAAGAAAGGGAAAAGUGGUACUAAUGUAGAUAAUGUCAUCUGCAAAUUCUGAAAAAGACUUCUUCCCUUCCAAUAUUCAGGGUUCUAAUUCCUUUAUCCUUCAUGACGACGUCACCCAGAAUUCUAAGAAUGCUGCUGAAGUACAACGGUGCUGGCCAGCAUCCCUACCCUGAGGUUUCAACAGUGAAUCGCGUUCAAGAUCUUCUAGACCUAGUCUAUUAGUAGUUACAUCUGGAAUGAAGGUGAAAUUUUAUCAAGUCUUUCCGAUAUCUACUCCAACAAUCAAAUCGCUUUUCUUCUUUCAUCUGCUGCUGUGGUGAAUAUAUAUUAAUACAUUUUUUCAAUCUUCAAAUAAACCCUGUUUGCUCAGUUAUUUUCUGAGGUAUUGCUAGAUUUAAGACACUGAUACCUUACGUAGAAGUUGUUCUUCUCUAUAAAUGAGAUCGAUCUAGAAACUUUCUUGUUUUAUCAAACUCCUGUAUAAGGGUUAUGCUUCUUUCAAUAAUGAACCAAGAAGUAUUUUCUUCUUUUAAUGCUCAAGGACCUGUUCCUUGAAGGUUUGAUAAAACUCACCUGUAAAAACCACCUUGUGAAGGGACAGUUCUUUGAUAACUUUUAAUUUCUUCCAUUGGUAACUGGUCUAUUCAGGCUUUCUUCUUCAGUCAAUUUUGAUAAUUUAUAUUUGCCUAUAAAAUGAUCCAUUCCAUCAAGAUGUUCAAUUUAUUAGCACAGAGUAAACUCAGAAUUAAAAUAAAAACUGCCUUAGUA
Felis catus (domestic cat) is the source of this 5270-nucleotide long non-coding RNA. RefSeq lists it as uncharacterized. The transcript has 2 exons. Lineage: Eukaryota; Metazoa; Chordata; Mammalia; Carnivora; Felidae. The record is from RefSeq and is a predicted model, not a curated record.